RNAcentral lists this ribosomal RNA (473 nucleotides) under uncultured bacterium. RNAcentral describes it as "bacterial SSU rRNA". It matches the Rfam family "Bacterial small subunit ribosomal RNA", at positions 355 to 825 of the family's 1533-position model. The record is from RNAcentral.
UGGGGAAUUUUGGACAAUGGGGGCAACCCUGAUCCAGCCAUGCCGCGUGAGUGAAGAAGGCCUUCGGGUCGUAAAGCUCUGUCGGAGGGAACGAAUGCUCUUGAGGUUAACAGCCUCGGGAGGUGACGGUACCCUCAAAGGAAGCACCGGCUAACUCUGUGCCAGCAGCCGCGGUAAUACGUAGGGUGCAGGCGUUAAUCGGAAUUACUGGGCGUAAAGCGUGCGCAGGCGGUUUGUUAAGACAGGUGUGAAAUCCCCGGGCUUAACCUGGGAAUUGCGCUUGUAACUGGCAGGCUAGAGUGUGGCAGAGGGGGGUGGAAUUCCACGUGUAGCAGUGAAAUGCGUAGAUAUGUGGAGGAAUACCGAUGGCGAAGGCAGCCCCCUGGGAUAACACUGACGCUCAUGCACGAAAGCGUGGGGAGCAAACAGGAUUAGAUACCCAUGUAGUCCCUGAGCGGGCUGGCAAGGCGCAU